This 199-nucleotide long non-coding RNA is filed under the name Elaeis guineensis (African oil palm). RNAcentral describes it as "long non-coding RNA (EGUI_LNC048766)". The record is from RNAcentral. Lineage: Eukaryota; Viridiplantae; Streptophyta; Magnoliopsida; Arecales; Arecaceae.
CGUUCACAAGCAGAUGCAAGGCCAUCAUUGGUUCUCUCACCUAACAGUUAUGAGGUCCAACCCCAUCCUUACUCUAGAGCAACUCUUUGCUAAUAGAGUGGUUGCAUGUUCCCGAUGUAACUGAACCACUAUGACCAGUUGAGAACAUUCAAUGCCAGUAGCACUCCACACAUCUACAAUGGUGGAAAACCUAUAGACU